This is a non-coding RNA of Pimephales promelas (fathead minnow), 1039 nucleotides long. The record is from RefSeq and is a predicted model, not a curated record. NCBI's taxonomy places the organism in Eukaryota, Metazoa, Chordata, Actinopteri, Cypriniformes, Leuciscidae.
GUGCAUGUAAAUGUUACGUAGUUAAAAUGUGUAAUAUUAACAAUAAAAUGUUACGUUUAUAUCUUUACAUAAUAUAUCUGGUUUUGAAUUUAUCUUCAUUUGUUCAAAACACAAGACAAUGUGCAUAUUUUUACCUUACAAAAUUAAUCUAAGUAAUCUCAGCCAAUCUUUUUAGGCACAUGCACUCAACAAACAAUACCUUGUUUAAUUUACUCAGUGCAAAAAAUUACUCCCCUUCCUGUUUUUUGGUCUGGAAACCCCUUGCAUUUCAAACGAAGAGGAAGCCUACACGUGGAGACUGAACUCAAGAGCGCUCAUUGGGGUUUUUCAGCCGUCAAUCAUCUCGUGAACAUAGUCCCGCCUUCAGAAUGACGCGGUUCGCUGCACGCUUCCCCAUCGGAGCUCCGAGGGAAAACAAACCCAAAGUAGGCUAACAAUUAAACCGAAACUGAAGAAAAUUUGCUUACUGAUGAGCAGGUCAACUAAUUGCAGUGUUGUGGAGAGAGUGAUCCUCCUGACAAGUAGGCUACACUGGAUAAAGUUUUGUGAUGACGACGAUUCUGCAGCCAUCCAAGAGGAAAUCACUUCAUUUGUACUCAACAUGUUCGUGGUCACCAAAACCAGGGAUGGAGGUCUCGAGAAGCAAGCUGGAAUAGCCAUCAAGGGAGAAGAGGUCCUUUUUGGAAUUCCCAGUGUAGCACAUGCUUGCACCUAUACCUUAUGGGCAUUAUUUAUCCAAAUAAACUAAAAUACACCUUUGGAGGAUGUUAACAAAAACAUGCCCUCCAAAAUCCAGCUUAUGGCCUAAAAGUAUGACAGACGUUGUUGUUUAUAACUCUGUUUGGACCUUUUGGGACUUUGGCUUAUUCACCAUAUCCCCCAGAGUUAAAUAAGUCCACACAUACCCUUCUCAUCUCUGUGCGUGCCGUAACAGUCAGACGCACCCACUGUUAGCCUAGCUUAGCACAAAGACUGGAGGUAAACAGAUCCAGCUAGCAUACUAUUCUUAAUAAAUGACAAAAUAACACCAACAUUUCCU